AGAGUUUGAUCCUGGCUCAGAUUGAACGCUGGCGGCAUGCUUUACACAUGCAAGUCGAACGGCAGCACGGGUGCUUGCACCUGGUGGCGAGUGGCGAACGGGUGAGUAAUGCACCGGAACGUACCCAGUAAUGGGGGAUAACACAUCGAAAGAUGUGCUAAUACCGCAUACGCCCUGAGGGGGAAAGCGGGGGAUCGUAAGACCUCGCGUUAUUGGAGCGGCCGAUGCCGUAUUAGCUAGUUGGUGAGGUAAGAGCUCACCAAGGCGACGAUCCGUAGCUGGUCUGAGAGGACGACCAGCCACACUGGGACUGAGACACGGCCCAGACUCCUACGGGAGGCAGCAGUGGGGAAUUUUGGACAAUGGGCGCAAGCCUGAUCCGGCCAUGCCGCGUGAGUGAAGAAGGCCUUCGGGUUGUAAAUCUCUUUCCAAGGAAAGAAAACUUAUCUACUAA
This 454-nucleotide ribosomal RNA is filed under the name uncultured bacterium. Its description in RNAcentral is "bacterial SSU rRNA". It matches the Rfam family "Bacterial small subunit ribosomal RNA", at positions 8 to 463 of the family's 1533-position model. The record is from RNAcentral.